CUACGGGGUGCUCCAGUGAGGAAUAUUGCACAAUGGGGGGAACCCUGAUGCAGCAACGCCGCGUGGAGGAUGACGCAUUUCGGUGUGUAAACUCCUUUUAUAUGUCAAGAAAAUGACGGUAGCAUAUGAAUAAGCACCGGCUAACUCCGUGCCAGCAGCCGCGGUAAUACGGAGGGUGCAAGCGUUACUCGGAAUCACUGGGCGUAAAGGACGCAUAGGCGGGGUGGAAAGUCAGGUGUGAAAUCCUACAGCUUAACUGUAGAACUGCACUUGAAACUUCUAAUCUAGGGGAUGGGAGGGGGAGAUGGAAUUAGUGGGGUAGGGGUAAAAUCCGUAGAUAUCACUAGGAAUACCUAAAGCGAAGGCGAUCUCCUGGAACAUUACUGACGCUAAGGCGUGAAAGCGGGGGAGCAAACAGGAUUAGAUACCCUAGUAGUC
RNAcentral lists this ribosomal RNA (438 nucleotides) under uncultured bacterium. RNAcentral's name for it is "partial 16S ribosomal RNA". It matches the Rfam family "Bacterial small subunit ribosomal RNA", at positions 339 to 795 of the family's 1533-position model. The record is from RNAcentral.